CAAAAAAGGGUGGGCUAUAGCCUUGGUGGGGGGCGCGGGCGAAGUUCGUCCGCCGGACUCGGAAUGGGGCGAGACUUUGCGAGGGGCCUCGGGUCGCCAAAAAUAAGCCGCGGGCAAAGCCGCGCCCAAAAAUAAGCGCCCGAAGGUCGUGGUGCCAAAACCCCCCAGCGGAAAAAUGGCCAAAAAACGGGUGGGCUAUAGCCUUGGUGGAGGGCGCGGGCGAAGUUCGUCCGCCGGACUCGGAAUGGGGCGAGACUUUGCGAGGGGCCUCGGGGUGCCAAAAAUAAGCCGUGGGCAAAGCCGCGCCCAAAAAUAAGUGCCCGAAGGUCGUGAUGCCAAAACCCCCCAGCGGAAAAAUGGCCAAAAAACGGGUGGGCUAUAGCCUUGGUGGGGGGCGCGGGCGAAGAUCGUCCGCCGGACUCGGAAUGGGGCGAGACUUUGCGAGGGGCCUCGGGGUGCCCGUGGGAAGUCGCGGGCACAGCCGCGCCCAAAAAUAAGCGCCCGAAGGUCGUGGUGCCAAAACCCCCCAGCGGAAAAAUGGCCAAAAAACGGGUGGGCUAUAGCCUUGGUGGGGGGCGCGGGCGAAGUUCGUCCGCCGGACUCGGAAUGGGGCGAGACUUUGCGAGGGGCCUCGGGGUGCCCGCAGGAAGUCGCGGGCGCAGCCGCGCCCAAAAAUAAGCACCCGAAGGUCGUGGUGCCAAAACCCCCAGCGGAAAAAUGGCCAAAAAACGUGUGGGCUAUAGCCUUGGUGGGGGGCGCGGGCGAAGUUCGUCCGCCGGACUCGGAAUGGGGCGAGACUUUGCGAGGGGCCUCGGGGUGCCCGCGGGAAGUCACGGGCACAGCCGCGCCCAAAAAUAAACGCCCGAAGGUCGUGGUGCCAAAACCCCCCAGCGGAAAAAUGGCCAAAAAACGGGUGGGCUAUAGCCUUGGUGGGGGGCGCGGGCGAAGUUCGACCGCCGGACUCGGAAUGGGGCGAGACAUUGCGAGCCUCGGGGUGCCAAAAAUAAGCCGCGGGCAAAGCCGUGCCCAAAAAUAAGCGCCCGAAGGUCGUGGUGCCAAAACCCCCCAGCGGAAAAAUGGCCAGAAAACGGGUGGGCUAUAGCCUUGGUGGGGGGCGCGGGCGAAGUUCGUCCGCCGGACUCGGAAUGGGGCGAGACUUUGCGAGGGGCCUCGGGGCGCCAAAAAUAAGCCGCGGGCAAAGCCGCACCCAAAAAUAAGCGCCCGAAGGUCGUAAUGCCAAAACCCCCCAGCGGAAAAAUGGCCAAAAAACGGGUGGGCUAUAGCCUUGGUGGGGGGCGCGGGCGAAGUUCGUCCGCCGGACUCGGAAUAGGGCGAGACUUUGCGAGGGGCCUCGGGGUGCCCGCGGGAAGUCGCGGGCACAGCCGCGCCCAAAAAUAAGCGCCCGAAGGUCGUGGUGCCAAAACCCCCCAGCGGAAAAAUGGCCAAAAAACGGGUGGGCUAUA
This 1463-nucleotide long non-coding RNA is filed under the name Citrus x clementina. RNAcentral describes it as "Citrus clementina (C. clementina) long non-coding RNA (CCLE_LNC006156)". The record is from RNAcentral. Lineage: Eukaryota; Viridiplantae; Streptophyta; Magnoliopsida; Sapindales; Rutaceae.